This 427-nucleotide ribosomal RNA is filed under the name uncultured bacterium. RNAcentral describes it as "partial 16S ribosomal RNA". It matches the Rfam family "Bacterial small subunit ribosomal RNA", at positions 355 to 774 of the family's 1533-position model. The record is from RNAcentral.
UGGGGAAUAUUGCACAAUGGGCGCAAGCCUGAUGUAGCCAUUCCGCGUGUAUGAAGAAGGCCUUCGGGUUGUAAAGUACUUUCAGCGAGGAGGAAGGCGUUGUGGUUAAUAACCGCAACGAUUGACGUUACUCGCAGAAGAAGCACCGGCUAACUCCGUGCCAGCAGCCGCGGUAAUACGGAGGGUGCAAGCGUUAAUCGGAAUUACUGGGCGUAAAGCGCACGCAGGCGGUCUGUCAAGUCGGAUGUGAAAUCCCCGGGCUCAACCUGGGAACUGCAUCCGAAACUGGCAGGCUAGAGUCUUGUAGAGGGGGGUAGAAUUCCAGGUGUAGCGGUGAAAUGCGUAGAGAUCUGGAGGAAUACCGGUGGCGAAGGCGGCCCCCUGGACAAAGACUGACGCUCAGGUGCGAAAGCGUGGGGAGCAAACA